UCACUUUGGGAUGGACCCGCGCCGUAUUAGUUAGUUGGUGAGAUAAAAGCCCACCAAGACGAUGAUACGUAGCCGACCUGAGAGGGUAAUCGGCCACAUUGGGACUGAGACACGGCCCAGACUCCUACGGGAGGCAGCAGUAGGGAAUCUUCCACAAUGGACGAAAGUCUGAUGGAGCAACGCCGCGUGAGUGAUGAAGGUUUUCGGAUCGUAAAACUCUGUUGUUAAAGAAGAACAAGUGUUAGAGUAACUGUUAACACUUUGACGGUAUUUAACCAGAAAGCCACGGCUAACUACGUGCCAGCAGCCGCGGUAAUACGUAGGUGGCAAGCGUUGUCCGGAUUUAUUGGGCGUAAAGCGAGCGCAGGCGGUUUUGUAAGUCUGCUGUGAAAGCCCUCAGCUCAACUGAGGAAGUGCAGUGGAAACUACAAA
This 432-nucleotide ribosomal RNA is filed under the name Lactobacillales bacterium 3_3_1CO2. Its description in RNAcentral is "bacterial SSU rRNA". It matches the Rfam family "Bacterial small subunit ribosomal RNA", at positions 215 to 639 of the family's 1533-position model. Lineage: Bacteria; Bacillati; Bacillota; Bacilli; Lactobacillales. The record is from RNAcentral.